Molecule: ribosomal RNA, 2928 nt
Filed under: bacterium
Lineage: Bacteria
Description: bacterial LSU rRNA
Rfam family: Bacterial large subunit ribosomal RNA
Source: RNAcentral
UCAAGAUACUAAGGGUGCACGGUGGAUGUCUUGGCGGUAAGAGCCGAUGACGAACGUGGCUUAACUGCGAUAAGCUUCGGGGAGCUGUAAGCAAGCUUUGAUCCGGAGAUCUUCUAAUUAUCAUGCACUGAAUGAAUAGGUGUAUGAAGGGAACCGAGGGAACUGAAACAUCUUAGUACCUCGAGGAAAAGAAAGUAAAAACGAUUACCUGAGUAGCGGCGAGCGAAACGGUACCAGCCCAAACCAUAUACUUGUAUAUGGGGUCGCGGGAAUAGAGUCAUGGUAUCAAAUGACGAUAGGAGAAUGGGGUGGAAACCCCAACCACAGAAGGUGACAGUCCUGUAUCCGAAAUCUGAUUUUGGCCUAUCUAUCUCCCAAGUACUGCGGAGCACGAGAAAUUCCGUGGGAAUUUGCGAGGACCACCUCGUAAGGCUAAAUACUUCUUACCGACCGAUAGCGUAUAGUAGGGUGACUGAAAGAUGAAAAGUACUCCGCAAGGAGAGUUAAAAGUACCUGAAACCGUGUACCUACAAGCAGUGGGAGACCUAUGAUUCCGUUUCGGCGGGAUAAUGGUUGACCGCGUGCCUUUUGAAUGAUGAUCCGGCGAGUUGCUGUCUGUGGCGAGCUUAAGUCCUUUUGGGACGAAGGCGCAGCGAAAGCGAGUGCUAAUAGCGCGUAUAUAGUCGCAGGGAGCAGACGCGAAACCGUAGUGAUCUAUCCCAGUCCAGGAUGAAGCGAGAGUAAAAUCUCGUGGAGGUCCGAACCCACUGGUGCUGAAAAACCAGGGGAUGAGGUUGGGAUAGGACUGAAAGUGUAAUCAAACUCGGAAAUAUCUCGUUCUCCCCGAAAUAUAUUGAGGUAUAGCGUCAUGUUAUUACUUUGCGGGGGUAGAGGACAGACUGAAUGCGGGGGACCACCAUCCUACCAACUUCAAACAAACUCCGAAUACCGCAAAGCUUAUCAUGGCAGUCAGACAGUGGGGGACAAGCUCCAUUGUCAAGAGGGAAAGAGCCCAGAUCGCCGAUUAAGGCCCCAAAAUCAUGUCUAAGUGGUUGAAGGAAGUGAAGGUGCUAAGACAGCUGGGAUGUUGGCUUAGAAGCAGCCACCAUUUAAAAAGUGCGUAAUAGCUUACCAGUCGAGCACUUUUGCGCCGAAAAUUAACGGGACUAAAGACAUGUGCCGAAGUCGCGGAUUAUGAUUGUUCUUCGGAACUUUCAUAGUGGUAGGGGAGCGUAGCAUACGGGUUGAAGCCGUACCGUGAGGAACGAGGGAGUACCCAAGUGGACUGUAUGCUAGUGAUAAUGCCGGAAUGAGUAACGAUAAAAGGGGUGAGAAUCCCCUUCGCCGCAAAUCCAAGGUUUCCUGGGCAAGGUCAUUCCUCCCAGGGUUAGGCGGGACCUAAGACAAGGCCGAAAGGCGUAGUCGAUUGGACAGCAGAUUAAUAUUUCUGCCCUGCAACUGAGGUUAACAUACGGAAGGACGGAGAAGGCUAAUUGCGGGUGGAUCCGCUGGCUGGACCAUGUAACGGUGUAGGCUUGGGCGAGUUAAAUGCUUUCCCUAUAAAGGCUGAGACCGGAUGCCAAGGCUUAAUAGCUUAUAAGCCGCUGAUGCCAUGCUUCCAAGAAAAGCUUCGUAUGUUCAAGGUUGUACCCGUACCGCAAACCGACACAGGUGGAUGAGGAGAGUAUCCUCAGGCGCGCGAGAGAACCGCAGUUAAGGAACUCGGCAAAAUUGAUCCGUAACUUAGGGAUAAGGAUCGCCUCUUAAGGUGAAGGACUUGCUCCGUAAGCUUUGAGAGGCCACAGCAAAGAGGCCCGAGCGACUGUUUACCAAAAACACAGGUCUGUGCUAACACGCAAGUGGAUGUAUACAGACUGACGCCUGCCCGAUGCUGGAAGGUUAAAGUAAGUGGUGCAAGCUACGAACUGAAGCCCCAGUGAAUGGCGGCCGUAACUAUGACGGUCCUAAGGUAGCGAAGUUCCUUGUCGGGUAAGUUCCGACGUGCAUGAAUGGCGUAACGACUUGGGCGCUGUCUCAACUGCGGACUCGGUGAAAUUGUAGGAGUCGUGAAGAUGCGACUUACCCGUGGCAAGACGGAAAGACCCCGUGAACCUUAACUAUAGGCUAAUAUUGGCUUUUUGUAUGGUUUGUGUAGGAUAGGUGGGAGGCAUUGAAGUUUGGACGCCAGUCCAGAUGGAGCCGUUGGUGAAAUACCACUCUUUCUAUAUGAAAAGUCUAACCUGGUCCCGUGAAUCCGGGCUGGGAACAGUUUUAGUUGGGUAGUUUGACUGGGGCGGUCUCCUCCUAAAGAGUAACGGAGGAGUUCAAAGGUUCCCUCAGUACGGUUGGCAACCGUACAAAGAGUGUAUAGGCAUAAGGGAGCUUGACUGCGAGAGAGAUAUUUCGAGCAGGUGCGAAAGCAGGACUAAGUGACCCCGCGAUCCUGAGUGGAAGGGUCGUGGCUCAUCAGAUAAAAGGUACUCCGGGGAUAACAGGCUGAUCUCUCCCAAGCGUUCACAGCGACGGGGAGGUUUGGCACCUCGAUGUCGGCUCAUCGUAUCCUGGGGCUGCAGUAGGUCCCAAGGGUUUGGCUGUCCGCCAAUUAAAACGGUACGCGAGCUGGGUUCAGACCGGCGUGAGCCAGGUCGGUCCCUAUCUGCCAUGGGCGUAGGACGAUUGCGAAGAACUGACUUUAGUACGAGAGGACUUAGUCGGACGAACCUCUGGUGUUCCAGUUGUACCGCCAGGUGCAGCGCUGGGUAGCUACGUUCGGAACGGAUAAACGCUGAAAGCAUCUAAGCGUGAAGCCAGCUUCAAGAUUAGUCGUCCCUGAAGGUAACUUAUAGACUAUGAGUUUGAUAGGCUGGGUGUGUAAGAGUGGUAACAUUUUUAGCUAACCAGUACUAAUCAACCGAUCGGCUUGAUCGC